This 767-nucleotide long non-coding RNA is filed under the name Capsicum annuum. RNAcentral's name for it is "long non-coding RNA (CANN_LNC015381)". Lineage: Eukaryota; Viridiplantae; Streptophyta; Magnoliopsida; Solanales; Solanaceae. The record is from RNAcentral.
CCUAUUAUUCCCGUCCUCAAAUCAAUCCAAUAUCGGUUUCAUAAUUUUCUCCCUGUGUUGUCUCUUAAAGACAGUUAUUUUAUGUAUUAUUCUAGUAUAAUUGUACUGGUACUAACUUCUGUUUAUGAAAUGAAUGAAUUAUGCUUGUGAACCUCAUAUGUUUUCUUUAUUUUAAAGUUAUUAUCCAUGUCAGUGUUGCCCCAGUUACCAUGAGCUAAUUAGCUUGUACUUAUCUUUACUCUUGAUUUACUGUUAAUCCUUUUCAAUAAUUCCAAAAGGGGGAAUACUAACUUUAUGUGUAGGGCCCAGGUGUGUAUGCGUUCAUGUGUAGUGCAUGCUGACAUGGGGAUGUAUGGUAAGGGCACAGUGAGAGGGGGAAACAAACAUAAGCUUAGAGUUUUUGCUGCAAAUAACAAUAAGUGAUCAGGUCCCUGUAUUGCAUAAUAGUAGAAGCAUGAUGAUAGGGAGAACAUUCAUCUUCAGAGUACUAAUCACACUGAUUAAAUGUGAUGCAUCUGCUUAAAGUUGUAUGGUUGGUUUGUCAUCAUAAAAAAGGAGGGGAAAUUGCUAUAUGUAGUUUUGAUGAUGAGUAGCUAACUGCAAAGGACUAGGUCCCUAGAUGUUCAUGGUACAGUACAGCUGACACGCGUGCCUGUACAGUUUUGUUCUUUUAUGUAAUAAACUUGCAGGUGCUGCUUGAACUGAAUAGGAUACCUGGUUCAAUGAUAUUUCAGCCCUAAUCAUCACUCAUCUAUAAAAGAAAAAAA